GAAACCUACCUCUUAGCAGGGGAUAACAUUUGGAAACAGAUGCUAAUACCGUAUAACAAUGACAACCGCAUGGUUGUUAUUUAAAAGAUGGUUCUGCUAUCACUAAGAGAUGGUCCCGCGGUGCAUUAGCUAGUUGGUAAGGUAAUGGCUUACCAAGGCGAUGAUGCAUAGCCGAGUUGAGAGACUGAUCGGCCACAAUGGGACUGAGACACGGCCCAUACUCCUACGGGAGGCAGCAGUAGGGAAUCUUCCACAAUGGGCGAAAGCCUGAUGGAGCAACGCCGCGUGUGUGAUGAAGGGUUUCGGCUCGUAAAACACUGUUGUAAGAGAAGAAUGACAUUGAGAGUAACUGUUCAAUGUGUGACGGUAUCUUACCAGAAAGGAACGGCUAAAUACGUGCCAGCAGCCGCGGUAAUACGUAUGUUCCCAAGCGUUAUCCGGAUUUAUUG
This 449-nucleotide ribosomal RNA is filed under the name uncultured bacterium. Its description in RNAcentral is "bacterial SSU rRNA". It matches the Rfam family "Bacterial small subunit ribosomal RNA", at positions 121 to 556 of the family's 1533-position model. The record is from RNAcentral.